RNAcentral lists this ribosomal RNA (399 nucleotides) under uncultured bacterium. RNAcentral describes it as "partial 16S ribosomal RNA". It matches the Rfam family "Bacterial small subunit ribosomal RNA", at positions 360 to 774 of the family's 1533-position model. The record is from RNAcentral.
AAUAUUGCGCAAUGGGGGGAACCCUGACGCAGCAACGCCGCGUGAGUGACGAAGGUUUUCGGAUCGUAAAGCCCUGUCAUCGGGGACGAAGAAGUGACGGUACCCGAGGAGGAAGCCCCGGCUAACCACGUGCCAGCAGCCGCGGUAAUACGUAGGGGGCGAGCGUUGUCCGGAAUUACUGGGCGUAAAGGGUGCGUAGGCGGCCAAUUAAGUCAGAUGUGAAAUACCACGGCUUAACCGUGGGGGUGCAUUUGAAACUGUUUGGCUUGAGUGCAGGAGAGGAAAGCGGAAUUCCUAGUGUAGCGGUGAAAUGCGUAGAGAUUAGGAGGAACACCAGUGGCGAAGGCGGCUUUCUGGACUGUAACUGACGCUGGGGCACGAAAGCGUGGGUAGCGAACA